Non-coding RNA from Durio zibethinus, 2320 nucleotides. The record is from RefSeq and is a predicted model, not a curated record. NCBI's taxonomy places the organism in Eukaryota, Viridiplantae, Streptophyta, Magnoliopsida, Malvales, Malvaceae.
UUUUAACAACGUUUGUUUGAAAACGUCGCUAUGUAACAUUAUUUAGUGGUGUUUGUCUUUGCAAACGCGGCUAUUUGCUCAAAUUUAAUGGUGUUUACUUAUAAAAAUGCAGCAAUUUAACAUCAUUUAGUGACGUUUGUUCUCAUAAAUGCUGCUAAAUUUUCCCUAAAAUUAGCAAAUCAGUCAAGCCCUGCACUUUCAUUUUCAUUUCCCCCUUUUUCCCUGCCCUGAUUGUUUUCAUUUUCCUUUCUAUUUCUUUUUCUAUUUCAUUAAUUUCUCUUUCAUUUCUCUAGAUUUAAGGGGUCUAGAGGCAGUUGAAGAAGAGGUAAUCUUUAUAUUUCCUUUUAAUCUUUAUAUUUCUCACUUUAGUUUAGCCUGAUCUAUAAUUUAUGAAUACUUCACUUCACCAAGCUUGAUCUGUCAAGAAAAGCCAGCACUUUUUCAAAGGCUUUGGGGUUCAAAAUCGAAAUUAUAAAAAAAAAAUUCUUUCCAUUUUCAUAUCCCUUCAAUAAAAAGCAAUUGCGCUCAUGCUCUUUCUCUCUCUCUCUUUGCCACUCUUGAGCUUCGAUCUUCUCUUCUCACACUUAGAACGACGACGCAUUCUUAUUUAGAAGACAGUCUUAUUCUUCACUUCUUGAUCUCAAGGUUAGGGUUUUUUAUGGCAAUUUCAUAAAAGUUCUUGCUUUGAUUUGGUUUCAAUGUUUGAUUGUAUAAACUGUAUUAAUUUAAAGGUUAGGACUUUGUUACUUGCUAUCAUUUUCGUGAGUAGAUAAAAAUGAACUCUUUUUUUAUCUUUAAAAAAUGAAGAGUUGAAGCUAUUUAUUAUACAAUGAAAUUAGAUGGAUGGCUAAUUUUCUGGGAUUAGGGGUUUUAUUACUUGUCUUUAGAUGGUUGGCAUUUGCUGUUUUUGCAAAAGCCAAGAAAGUUUAACUCUCUUCUUGUUAAUUCCACUUUUUGGUUUCGUUGUUUGAAUUGAAUGGUAAUGGUUUUUGAUAAUUUUAUCGUUGGUACAUUUUUUGUUUCUCUUUUUGGCUUUGUAUUUCUUUUCAUUUUGUGGCGUAAUAACAAUAUGAAGAGGAAAAUCGAAAAAGGUUCUAGGGAAUUUAAGAUCCAAACAUACGCUGUUAACGGUACCGACAUGGGACAAUGCUCACCAAAAAAUGGUUUCAGUGAUGACAUCAUCAUUGUCGGUGCCGGUGCUACUGCUGCUCUUGCUCAUACUCUUGGCAAGAUGGAAGGCAAGUUCAUGUGAUAGAAAGAGAUUUGACAGAACCAGACAGAAUUGUUGGGGAACUGCUGCAAUCUGGAGGAUACCUGAAAGUAGUUGAAUUGUCCCUUGAGGAUUGCGUGGAGGAAAUUGAUCCAUAGAGUGCUUGUGUAUGCACUCUUCAAGAAUGGGAGAAAUACUAGAUUAUCAUAUCCCUUUCACAAAUUUCAUUCAGAUGUUGUUGGGAUGAGCUUCCAUAACGAGUGUUUCAUACAGAAGAUGAGAGAAAAAGCUGCCACCCUUCCCAAGUUAUCUGUUUUACUUCUACCAUUCAUGAUGCAUACAUAUUAAAUGCCAACUGAUUGCAGCAUCGUUAACUUUGAAAAUUUUCAUUUUACAAUUGGUAAAGGGUUACAAGAUUGCAAUUAAUCUUCUUUCACCCCUGUAUGUUAAAUUUUCAAUGUACGGCUAGAGCAAGGAAUAGUGACAUCUCUGCUUGAAGAAAAUGGGACCAUUAGAAGGGUGCAAUACAAAACUAAGGAUGGUCAAGAACUAAGAGCUUAUGCUGCUCUUACUAUGUGAUGGUUGCUUUUCAAACCUACACCGCUCUCUUUGCAACCCAAAGGUCAAAACCAAACUCAAGAGGCACCAGAAUCGGAUAACAGGACUUGCCUUUUCCCAAACUUUAAAUUCUCUGUUGUGUGUUUGGAGCAUAAAUGGAUGGGAGAAAAAGAAACCGAGUUUCAUACAGGCACCAGCUGGACAUCAAUCUCCACUAGCAGGAGAAACCAAAGUCCAGUUUCACAAUGACCAAACUCAUCUAUUGGUUGUCCAUGAAAGCCAAAUAGCCAUCUAUGAUAACAAGCUUGAAUUUUUGAGCCAUCUAAGUUGUCUACCUUGUAUCAUUUUCCUUGUAUUAUAGUUUCUCAUUAGUAUUAUUGAUAUUAUUACUUUUUCUGAGAACUUUUUUAUGACAUGACUAAUCAAAAUUUUCCUAUCAUGUUUUAAUUAUUUCAAGGCAAGAUUGGAGACUUUGAAAGCUUGUUUUGGGGUAAUCUUUCUGUCGUUUAAAAACUUUCAAUUUACUCAUUAAUCUAACUAACUAAGCUUGUU